UGCCCUAUGGGUUGUAAACUGCUUUUAUAUAGGAAGAAAAACUUUCUCGUGAGAAAGCUUGACGGUACUAUAAGAAUAAGGAUCGGCUAACUCCGUGCCAGCAGCCGCGGUAGUACGGAGGAUCCAAGCGUUAUCCGGAAUCAUUGGGUUUAAAGGGUCCGUAGGUGGACAAAUAAGUCAGAGGUGAAAUCCUGCAGCUCAACUGUAGAACUGCCUUUGAUACUGUUUGUCUUGAGUUAUUAUGAAGUGGUUAGAAUGUGUAGUGUAGCGGUGAAAUGCAUAGAUAUUACACAGAAUACCGAUUGCGAAGGCAGAUCACUAAUAAUUAACUGACACUGAGGGACGAAAGCGUGGGUAGCGAACAGGAUUAGAUACCCUGGUAGUCCACGCCGUAAACGAUGGUCACUAGCUGUUUGGACUUCGGUCUGAGUGGCUAAGCGAAAGUGAUAAGUGACCCACCUGGGGAGUACGUUCGCAAGAAUGAAACUCAAAGGAAUUGACGGGGGCCCGCACAAGCGGUGGAGCAUGCGGUUUAAUUCGAUGAUACGCGAGGAACCUUACCAGGGCUUAAAUGUUAGGUGACAGAUCUAGAAAUAGAUUUUUCUUCGGACACUUAACAAGGUGCUGCAUGGUUGUCGUCAGCUCGUGCCGUGAGGUGUCAGGUUAAGUCCUAUAACGAGCGCAACCCCUGUUGUUAGUUGCCAGCGAGUAAUGUCGGGAACUCUAGCAAGACUGCCAGUGCAAACUGUGAGGAAGGUGGGGAUGACGUCAAAUCAUCACGGCCCUUACGUCCUGGGCUACACACGUGCUACAAUGGUAGGUACAGAGAGCAGCCAAUGCGCGAGCAUGAGCAAAUCUAUAAAACCUAUCUCAGUUCGGAUCGGAGUCUGCAACUCGACUCCGUGAAGCUGGAAUCGCUAGUAAUCGGAUAUCAGCCAUGAUCCGGUGAAUACGUUCCCGGGCCUUGUACACACCGCCCGUCAAGCCAUGGAAGUUGGGAGUGCCUGAAGUCCGUUUCCGCAAGGAUCGGCCUAGGGUAAAAUCGAUAACUAGGGCUAAGUCGUAACAAGGUAGCCGUACCGGAAGGUGCGGCUGGAACACCUCCUUUCU
This 1110-nucleotide ribosomal RNA is filed under the name uncultured Flavobacteriaceae bacterium. RNAcentral describes it as "bacterial SSU rRNA". It matches the Rfam family "Bacterial small subunit ribosomal RNA", at positions 412 to 1533 of the family's 1533-position model. Lineage: Bacteria; Pseudomonadati; Bacteroidota; Flavobacteriia; Flavobacteriales; Flavobacteriaceae. The record is from RNAcentral.